GAUGAACGCUGGCGGCGUGCCUAAUACAUGCAAGUCGAGCGAACAGGCGAGGAGCUUGCUCCUCUGACGUUAGCGGCGGACGGGUGAGUAACACGUGGAUAACCUACCUAUAAGACUGGGAUAACUUCGGGAAACCGGAGCUAAUACCGGAUAAUAUAUUGAACCGCAUGGUUCAAUAGUGAAAGACGGUUUUGCUGUCACUUAUAGAUGGAUCCGCGCCGCAUUAGCUAGUUGGUAAGGUAACGGCUUACCAAGGCAACGAUGCGUAGCCGACCUGAGAGGGUGAUCGGCCACACUGGAACCGAGACACGGUCCAGACUCCUACGGGAGGCAGCAGUAGGGAAUCUUCCGCAAUGGGCGAAAGCCUGACGGAGCAACGCCGCGUGAGUGAUGAAGGUCUUCGGAUCGUAAAACUCUGUUAUUAGGGAAGAACAAAUGUGUAAGUAACUAUGCACGUCUUGACGGUACCUAAUCAGAAAGCCACGGCUAACUACGUG
RNAcentral lists this ribosomal RNA (497 nucleotides) under uncultured bacterium. RNAcentral's name for it is "partial 16S ribosomal RNA". It matches the Rfam family "Bacterial small subunit ribosomal RNA", at positions 28 to 507 of the family's 1533-position model. The record is from RNAcentral.